GACAAUUAGAUGCUGGGAAGGGCAAGGCAAGACAGCAGAAAGACAGAAGAUGGAUACCUUGGGCAGCUAGCAGCCUUCAGGAUGGCAGAAUAAGGUUUCCAGUUGCCUGAGGGCCACGCGUGCUGCCCGUCCGCGCCCUGUAAUUUCCGGAGCCAGCGAGCGAGCCUUCUCCGGACAGGCCCGAGCUCUCCCCGGGAGCUUUCCCCCUCACGUGCACACAGAUCCGCCAUGCUGCUGCUACUAGAGACAAGGAGCUGCUUCACUGCCCAGCUCCCAUUCCUGCCCUCGCCCGGGCACUGCGGGAAGCAGGAGAGUACGCGCGUCUGUCAUUCCAGACUGUACCAUCAGAUGGCUGCCCAGGCCCUCUGAAUGCAGGAGACCCAGACAGCCUUCCCUCUGGCCUUGCCUACCUUUCAACUGCUCGGCUUCAGUCUUCAGAGCUCGUCAAACAUGAGGGGGUUUUAAAAUCAUAUAAAUGUGAUUUACGAAAAAAAUUAAAGACGGUUAUGGUGGUUUAUUUAGCUAGAGCUAGAAAUAGCCCUGGCAUUGUAUUUCAUGUUGUGGUUUUUGUAAGACAGGAUAGUAGCUGAUAGUUAACACUUGCCCAGUUUUGCCCACAUCAGCGUUGGUGGCAAGCCAGGCAAUGUCAUGUGUGUCAAUGACGUUCAUGUCCCACUUCCUGCGAUACUCAAUGUCAUGCAGCACAGUAUAUACCGUCUCCACUGGCACAGCUUGGAUGUCAGUGCAGCACUUGACCGUGUGCACUUGAGCAAUUUUGUAUUAGCUACUUUGAUAUUACACUUGCAAACUGCCAAAUGGAUAAUAUGUAGUUAGACUGUAAGCUCUUUGGGGCAGAGUCUGCUCUUUUGUUAUAUGUGUGUACAGUGCCUAGCACAAGCUGGGCCCCGAUCCUACCAUACAGGUAAAUCAUCAUUGUCACCCACAUAUUAAUAUCAUAUUGACAGAUUAUAUGCUUUGGUCUCUGUGGUAUCUUAUGUGAACUGUUGUUGUGGUAUAGUCCAAAUUAAAAACAAUCCAGAAUUA
Long non-coding RNA from Mauremys reevesii (Reeves's turtle), 1044 nucleotides. RefSeq lists it as uncharacterized. The transcript is spliced from 2 exons. The record is from RefSeq and is a predicted model, not a curated record. Lineage: Eukaryota; Metazoa; Chordata; Testudines; Geoemydidae.